Molecule: ribosomal RNA, 434 nt
Filed under: uncultured bacterium
Lineage: Bacteria
Description: partial 16S ribosomal RNA
Rfam family: Bacterial small subunit ribosomal RNA
Source: RNAcentral
AGCGAACGCUGGCGGCAGGCCUAACACAUGCAAGUCGAACGAACCUUUCGGGGUUAGUGGCGGACGGGUGAGUAACACGUGGGAACGUGCCUUUAGGUUCGGAAUAACUCAGGGAAACUUGUGCUAAUACCGAAUGUGCCCUUCGGGGGAAAGAUUAAUCGCCUUUAGAGCGGCCGGCGUCUGAUUAGCUAGUUGGUUGAGGUAAUGGCUCACCAAGGCGACGUUAAGUAGCUGGUCUGAGAGGAUGAUCAGCCACAUUGGGACUGAGACACGGCCCAAACUCCUACGGGAGGCAGCAGUGGGGAAUCUUGCGCAAUGGGCGAAAGCCUGACGCAGCCAUGCCGCGUGAAUGAUGAAGGUCUUAGGAUUGUAAAAUUCUUUCACCGGGGACGAUAAUGACGGUACCCGGAGAAGAAGCCCCGGCUAACUUCGUG